Molecule: long non-coding RNA, 5798 nt
Organism: Tympanuchus pallidicinctus (lesser prairie-chicken)
Lineage: Eukaryota; Metazoa; Chordata; Aves; Galliformes; Phasianidae
Exons: 6
Source: RefSeq, a predicted model, not a curated record
AAGAAAGGGCGGGAACAUCGAGGGGGUUGGAGAGAGAACGGCGGGAAGAAAAGCGCGGGAAGCGACAGCGGCGCCCAGCGCUCCUAUUGGCUGGCGGGCUGAAGGGACAGCUAUAAAAGGUGCGCGCGCGGGCAGGUGAGCGAGACGUUUUCCACAGCGUUGUGAAGAGGAGCGGGGUGCUGCGAAGGAAAGACGCCGGCGGUAGCAGCGACAGCGGCUACAAGCGGUCUCCAGAGCCGAGCAGUGUGGGGACGCGGGAGGCAGGAGCGAGCAAGAAGAGGAUGCCGAAGCGUGCCGACGCGGGGGGGAAGGAGAGAGGCAGGCUGGGCAAAGCAGGUGUCCCGUUAGCGGGGCCGCAGUCACAUGAGAGUUUGAGCGUUGCCGGUGCCUUGGCCGGCUUUGUGCUGGGCGACCUCCCUGUAAGCAGGGCUCGGGUCUUUGCUUUUGCUGUAGUUGGGCUUUUGCCUUGCUGCUCCUUAGGCUGCCUGGGGAGCGUGGCCCCCUGUAACGGAGGGCGAGAGCCACCUCUCCGCACCUGAGUGGGAAAUGGAGCUCGCCGGACCCCGAGGCCGCCCUGUAAGCAGGGUAGUGCCGUUUGCCCGUCCCUCUUCCUCCUCCGGCCCCUCGGCAUCGUUGCCUGGUGGUGGCCCGUAAAUGCGACGGCGCCGUACUCGGGGUGCGCGUCACGGCAUCUGGCCUUUGGCUUUAGCUGGGAAGCCCCUUGGCACGUUGAGGUCUGUGGCCUCCGUGCAGGCUAGGGACAGGUUGCAGGCUCUUGUCUGUUGCCCGCGGUUGUGGGUUUAUUCCCAGGGUUUGGCUGCGCUGCGUUGUCCUUCCCUUCUGGAAAGUCGCAUCUGUGCGCGUGUGUUCCCCUUCCUUUCCAUGUUUGUGUCUGUGGUGUGACUGAGCGACUGAGCUUCCCUUUAGGCUCCCACAAAAAUGGCUGCAGCCUAGCUUCGACUUACCAGGGGGGAACGGAGGACUUUGGUGCAUGCCACAAAAGGGGUGUUCCCUCUCAGUCCCGCGAGCGCAGCGAGUGUCCUGUCUUCCUCUAAAUUACUUAGCAGAGAUCAGAGCCACGUGGUAGUUCUGUGGCUGAGGCCGCCCUGUAGCCAGGGCAUGGGCCAGUCCUUUAGUGGGCGCCUGCUCCGCUGGCGGUGUGACAGCCCCGUAGUCGGGGCGUGUGUCCCAAGCUGCGGAGGCCUCUGUCCCGCGAGCGGCCCGCCCUCCCUGUAAUCAGGUGUGGGGAGGCUGCAGCAUUGCAGCCGGCUGCUCUAGCCAUCCAGCUGGUGGGAUUGACCCCUCCCUGUCCCGUCAGAGGGUGCAGGUUGAGGUGCUGGUUUUGUGUGUGGGGUGACCUCCCCGCUCGGUGGGUCGAGGUUGCUCCCCGGGUUCCCAAAGACGAGAGCUUGGUGCUGUUGUGCUGCUGCCGGGCGGGCCAGCCUGUAGCUCAGGCGUUGGCGGGAGCCUCGUGCUCCGCGGGGCUUCUUGGUGAGGGUGGGGUGUGGGGGUACCGUCCUGUAGGCAGGGCUGUGCGUGCCCCCGGUGUGUGCUUGGUGAGCUGCGUUGAGAGAGACCCCCUGUAGUCAGGCGGGCAUGUGGCCCUGGCCUUUCAGAGGCACGGGGCCGCGAGAUGCGGGGUUGGGCUUGCGCCCUCCCUGGAAUCAGGGCUGGGAGCCCGAGCGCGGCAUUUGGCCGUGUUGCCCCGCUGCCUGGCAGCUGAGAGUCGCUCCCGCCGCUGGGGGGGAAACCGAGCUCUGUGGCUCCAGGGGUGUUGUCCACCCGCCUGUAAUCAGGGUCUGGGUGUGCGAGCGCUUGUGCUCAGCUGGCAGCCUGUGUGGGGUGACCGCCCCGUUAGCGGGGUGCGGGUCAAGGUGCCCCCUGAGUGGGAGAGAAGGAGCCUCCCGCGGCCGGUAGGGAUGGGGGCUGCCCUGUAAGGUGGGGAGCGCCAGUGCCCCGCAGUCCCAGGCCCUUUGCAAUGGAUGCAGUGGCGGGGGUCCCCUGUAAUCAGGGAAGAUGACUCUUUGGCCGCUGCUGUGUGUGUGCCCAGCUCCAUUUGCCCAGUCUGCCCGCCUCUGUGAUCCCCCGCAGCACCGGCUGGAAGCGCGCCGUGCGCCAGUGAGGAGCUGCUGCAGGAGGAGGAGGAGGAGGAGGAAGAAGAAGAAAUGUCGUGGGGACGCGGGAGGCAGGAGCGAGCAAGAAGAGGAUGCCGAAGCGUGCCGACGCGGGGGGGAAGGAGAGAGGCAGGCUGGGCAAAGCAGGUGUCCCGUUAGCGGGGCCGCAGUCACAUGAGAGUUUGAGCGUUGCCGGUGCCUUGGCCGGCUUUGUGCUGGGCGACCUCCCUGUAAGCAGGGCUCGGGUCUUUGCUUUUGCUGUAGUUGGGCUUUUGCCUUGCUGCUCCUUAGGCUGCCUGGGGAGCGUGGCCCCCUGUAACGGAGGGCGAGAGCCACCUCUCCGCACCUGAGUGGGAAAUGGAGCUCGCCGGACCCCGAGGCCUCCCUGUAAGCAGGGUAGUGCCGUUUGCCCGUCCCUCUUCCUCCUCCGGCCCCUCGGCAUCGUUGCCUGGUGGUGGCCCGUAAAUGCGACGGCCCCGUACUCGGGGUGCGCGUCACGGCAUCUGGCCUUUGGCUUUAGCUGGGAAGCCCCUUGGCACGUUGAGGUCUGUGGCCUCCGUGCAGGCUAGGGACAGGUUGCAGGCUCUUGGCUGUCCUUUAGUGGGCGCCUGCUCCGCUGGCGGUGUGACAGCCCCGUAGUCGGGGCGUGUGUCCCAAGCUGCGGAGGCCUCUGUCCCGCGAGCGGCCCGCCCUCCCUGUAAUCAGGUGUGGGGAGGCUGCAGCAUUGCAGCCGGCUGCUCUAGCCAUCCAGCUGGUGGGAUUGACCCCUCCCUGUCCCGUCAGAGGGUGCAGGUUGAGGUGCUGGUUUUGUGUGUGGGGUGACCUCCCCGCUCGGUGGGUCGAGGUUGCUCCCCGGGUUCCCAAAGACGAGAGCUUGGUGCUGUUGUGCUGCUGCCGGGCGGGCCAGCCUGUAGCUCAGGCGUUGGCGGGAGCCUCGUGCUCCGCGGGGCUUCUUGGUGAGGGUGGGGCGUGGGGGUACCGUCCUGUAGGCAGGGCUGUGCGUGCCCCCGGUGUGUGCUUGGUGAGCUGCGUUGAGAGAGACCCCCUGUAGUCAGGCGGGCAUGUGGCCCUGGCCUUUCAGAGGCACGGGGCCGCGAGAUGCGGGGUUGGGCUUGCGCCCUCCCUGGAAUCAGGGCUGGGAGCCCGAGCGCGGCAUUUGGCCGUGUUGCCCCGCUGCCUGGCAGCUGAGAGUCGCUCCCGCCGCUGGGGGGGAAACCGAGCUCUGUGGCUCCAGGGGUGUUGUCCACCCGCCUGUAAUCAGGGUCUGGGUGUGCGAGCGCUUGUGCUCAGCUGGCAGCCUGUGUGGGGUGACCGCCCCGUUAGCGGGGUGCGGGUCAAGGUGCCCCCUGAGUGGGAGAGAAGGAGCCUCCCGCGGCCGGUAGGGAUGGGGGCUGCCCUGUAAGGUGGGGAGCGCCAGUGCCCCGCAGUCCCAGGCCCUUUGCAAUGGAUGCAGUGGCGGGGGUCCCCUGUAAUCAGGGAAGAUGACUCUUUGGCCGCUGCUGUGUGUGUGCCCAGCUCCAUUUGCCCAGUCUGCCCGCCUCUGUGAUCCCCCGCAGCACCGGCUGGAAGCGCGCCGUGCGCCAGUGAGGAGCUGCUGCAGGAGGAGGAGGAGGAGGAGGAAGAAGAAGAAAUGUCGUGGGGACGCGGGAGGCAGGAGCGAGCAAGAAGAGGAUGCCGAAGCGUGCCGACGCGGGGGGGAAGGAGAGAGGCAGGCUGGGCAAAGCAGGUGUCCCGUUAGCGGGGCCGCAGUCACAUGAGAGUUUGAGCGUUGCCGGUGCCUUGGCCGGCUUUGUGCUGGGCGACCUCCCUGUAAGCAGGGCUCGGGUCUUUGCUUUUGCUGUAGUUGGGCUUUUGCCUUGCUGCUCCUUAGGCUGCCUGGGGAGCGUGGCCCCCUGUAACGGAGGGCGAGAGCCACCUCUCCGCACCUGAGUGGGAAAUGGAGCUCGCCGGACCCCGAGGCCGCCCUGUAAGCAGGGUAGUGCCGUUUGCCCGUCCCUCUUCCUCCUCCGGCCCCUCGGCAUCGUUGCCUGGUGGUGGCCCGUAAAUGCGACGGCGCCGUACUCGGGGUGCGCGUCACGGCAUCUGGCCUUUGGCUUUAGCUGGGAAGCCCCUUGGCACGUUGAGGUCUGUGGCCUCCGUGCAGGCUAGGGACAGGUUGCAGGCUCUUGUCUGUUGCCCGCGGUUGUGGGUUUAUUCCCAGGGUUUGGCUGCGCUGCGUUGUCCUUCCCUUCUGGAAAGUCGCAUCUGUGCGCGUGUGUUCCCCUUCCUUUCCAUGUUUGUGUCUGUGGUGUGACUGAGCGACUGAGCUUCCCUUUAGGCUCCCACAAAAAUGGCUGCAGCCUAGCUUCGACUUACCAGGGGGGAACGGAGGACUUUGGUGCAUGCCACAAAAGGGGUGUUCCCUCUCAGUCCCGCGAGCGCAGCGAGUGUCCUGUCUUCCUCUAAAUUACUUAGCAGAGAUCAGAGCCACGUGGUAGUUCUGUGGCUGAGGCCGCCCUGUAGCCAGGGCAUGGGCCAGUCCUUUAGUGGGCGCCUGCUCCGCUGGCGGUGUGACAGCCCCGUAGUCGGGGCGUGUGUCCCAAGCUGCGGAGGCCUCUGUCCCGCGAGCGGCCCGCCCUCCCUGUAAUCAGGUGUGGGGAGGCUGCAGCAUUGCAGCCGGCUGCUCUAGCCAUCCAGCUGGUGGGAUUGACCCCUCCCUGUCCCGUCAGAGGGUGCAGGUUGAGGUGCUGGUUUUGUGUGUGGGGUGACCUCCCCGCUCGGUGGGUCGAGGUUGCUCCCCGGGUUCCCAAAGACGAGAGCUUGGUGCUGUUGUGCUGCUGCCGGGCGGGCCAGCCUGUAGCUCAGGCGUUGGCGGGAGCCUCGUGCUCCGCGGGGCUUCUUGGUGAGGGUGGGGCGUGGGGGUACCGUCCUGUAGGCAGGGCUGUGCGUGCCCCCGGUGUGUGCUUGGUGAGCUGCGUUGAGAGAGACCCCCUGUAGUCAGGCGGGCAUGUGGCCCUGGCCUUUCAGAGGCACGGGGCCGCGAGAUGCGGGGUUGGGCUUGCGCCCUCCCUGGAAUCAGGGCUGGGAGCCCGAGCGCGGCAUUUGGCCGUGUUGCCCCGCUGCCUGGCAGCUGAGAGUCGCUCCCGCCGCUGGGGGGGAAACCGAGCUCUGUGGCUCCAGGGGUGUUGUCCACCCGCCUGUAAUCAGGGUCUGGGUGUGCGAGCGCUUGUGCUCAGCUGGCAGCCUGUGUGGGGUGACCGCCCCGUUAGCGGGGUGCGGGUCAAGGUGCCCCCUGAGUGGGAGAGAAGGAGCCUCCCGCGGCCGGUAGGGAUGGGGGCUGCCCUGUAAGGUGGGGAGCGCCAGUGCCCCGCAGUCCCAGGCCCUUUGCAAUGGAUGCAGUGGCGGGGGUCCCCUGUAAUCAGGGAAGAUGACUCUUUGGCCGCUGCUGUGUGUGUGCCCAGCUCCAUUUGCCCAGUCUGCCCGCCUCUGUGAUCCCCCGCAGCACCGGCUGGAAGCGCGCCGUGCGCCAGUGAGGAGCUGCUGCAGGAGGAGGAGGAGGAGGAGGAAGAAGAAGAAAUGUCGUGGGGACGCGGGAGGCAGGAGCGACCGUGAAGGGGAUUCUUUUUACUGUCAAUCUCUUUCUAUUAACUUGUCUUUUGAAGCCAUAGUUAAUAUGUGUGUAUUGCUGUUGUUACUUCCCAAUUC